Molecule: ribosomal RNA, 700 nt
Filed under: Streptomyces sp. DRL17
Lineage: Bacteria; Bacillati; Actinomycetota; Actinomycetes; Kitasatosporales; Streptomycetaceae
Description: bacterial SSU rRNA
Rfam family: Bacterial small subunit ribosomal RNA
Source: RNAcentral
CAUGCAGUCGAACGAUGAACCACUUCGGUGGGGAUUAGUGGCGAACGGGUGAGUAACACGUGGGCAAUCUGCCCUGCACUCUGGGACAAGCCCUGGAAACGGGGUCUAAUACCGGAUACUGACCCGCUUGGGCAUCCAAGCGGUUCGAAAGCUCCGGCGGUGCAGGAUGAGCCCGCGGCCUAUCAGCUUGUUGGUGAGGUAAUGGCUCACCAAGGCGACGACGGGUAGCCGGCCUGAGAGGGCGACCGGCCACACUGGGACUGAGACACGGCCCAGACUCCUACGGGAGGCAGCAGUGGGGAAUAUUGCACAAUGGGCGAAAGCCUGAUGCAGCGACGCCGCGUGAGGGAUGACGGCCUUCGGGUUGUAAACCUCUUUCAGCAGGGAAGAAGCGAAAGUGACGGUACCUGCAGAAGAAGCGCCGGCUAACUACGUGCCAGCAGCCGCGGUAAUACGUAGGGCGCGAGCGUUGUCCGGAAUUAUUGGGCGUAAAGAGCUCGUAGGCGGCUUGUCACGUCGGUUGUGAAAGCCCGGGGCUUAACCCCGGGUCUGCAGUCGAUACGGGCAGGCUAGAGUUCGGUAGGGGAGAUCGGAAUUCCUGGUGUAGCGGUGAAAUGCGCAGAUAUCAGGAGGAACACCGGUGGCGAAAGGCGGAUCUCUGGGCCGAUACUGACGCUGAGGAGCGAAAGCGUGGGGAGCG